RNAcentral lists this ribosomal RNA (1351 nucleotides) under uncultured bacterium. Its description in RNAcentral is "bacterial SSU rRNA". It matches the Rfam family "Bacterial small subunit ribosomal RNA", at positions 28 to 1380 of the family's 1533-position model. The record is from RNAcentral.
AUUGAACGCUGGCGGCAUGCCUUACACAUGCAAGUCGAACGGCAGCACGGAGCUUGCUCUGGUGGCGAGUGGCGAACGGGUGAGUAAUAUAUCGGAACGUACCCUAGAGUGGGGGAUAACGUAGCGAAAGUUACGCUAAUACCGCAUACGAUCUAAGGAUGAAAGUGGGGGAUCGCAAGACCUCAUGCUCGUGGAGCGGCCGAUAUCUGAUUAGCUAGUUGGUAGGGUAAAAGCCUACCAAGGCAUCGAUCAGUAGCUGGUCUGAGAGGACGACCAGCCACACUGGAACUGAGACACGGUCCAGACUCCUACGGGAGGCAGCAGUGGGGAAUUUUGGACAAUGGGCGAAAGCCUGAUCCAGCAAUGCCGCGUGAGUGAAGAAGGCCUUCGGGUUGUAAAGCUCUUUUGUCAGGGAAGAAACGGUGAAAGCUAAUAUCUUUUGCUAAUGACGGUACCUGAAGAAUAAGCACCGGCUAACUACGUGCCAGCAGCCGCGGUAAUACGUAGGGUGCAAGCGUUAAUCGGAAUUACUGGGCGUAAAGCGUGCGCAGGCGGUUUUGUAAGUCUGAUGUGAAAUCCCCGGGCUCAACCUGGGAAUUGCAUUGGAGACUGCAAGGCUAGAAUCUGGCAGAGGGGGGUAGAAUUCCACGUGUAGCAGUGAAAUGCGUAGAUAUGUGGAGGAACACCGAUGGCGAAGGCAGCCCCCUGGGUCAAGAUUGACGCUCAUGCACGAAAGCGUGGGGAGCAAACAGGAUUAGAUACCCUGGUAGUCCACGCCCUAAACGAUGUCUACUAGUUGUCGGGUCUUAAUUGACUUGGUAACGCAGCUAACGCGUGAAGUAGACCGCCUGGGGAGUACGGUCGCAAGAUUAAAACUCAAAGGAAUUGACGGGGACCCGCACAAGCGGUGGAUGAUGUGGAUUAAUUCGAUGCAACGCGAAAAACCUUACCUACCCUUGACAUGGCUGGAAUCCUUGAGGGAUCAGGGAGUGCUCGAAAGAGAACCAGUACACAGGUGCUGCAUGGCUGUCGUCAGCUCGUGUCGUGAGAUGUUGGGUUAAGUCCCGCAACGAGCGCAACCCUUGUCAUUAGUUGCUACGAAAGGGCACUCUAAUGAGACUGCCGGUGACAAACCGGAGGAAGGUGGGGAUGACGUCAAGUCCUCAUGGCCCUUAUGGGUAGGGCUUCACACGUCAUACAAUGGUACAUACAGAGCGCCGCCAACCCGCGAGGGGGAGCUAAUCGCAGAAAGUGUAUCGUAGUCCGGAUUGUAGUCUGCAACUCGACUGCAUGAAGUUGGAGUCGCUAGUAAUCGCGGAUCAGCAUGUCGCGGUGAAUACGUUCCCGGGUC